AAAACCAAAAGAAAAAGAAACUUUCUUGAAGCUCCAGCCAAGAACUGGACCACUUCCCCACUUGCGAGCAAUGUCCUUCCUUCCUUCCUUCCAGGCCAGGCAGCGCCUCAUGGCAGAGUUCCAGGAACAUGCCGCAAAGCGACAAGCCCACCUGGGGAGCAGCUACAGCCGGCUGGAGUACGCCCGGCUCCUGUCUGAACGGGUGGCCCUGCAGACCAAGGAGCGUCUCUCUGGAUCGACCCAGUGUUUUGUCAACUACCCCGGGGCAAGGUUCUACGCUGCGGCUGGGGCUCCUCAGGGGAGCUGGGCAAUCAUCACUCGGAAACUGAUCCCCUUGCUCAAGUUGGUGGUUCAGACCCUGGAGGAGAGCAAAAAGGGUGCCCCAGAGAUGCCUCUGGGGUUGGGAUCGGGCGAAGGCUACUCCUCCAGGAGCACUCUGAAGGUGUCAGAGGUACCUAGUGCGGUGUUGAGGACCAACACAAAGGAGGAAGUGGCACCUAUUGCUGGAGCCCUCUCACCGGUAACACCUUCUCAGCACGCCCCAGACAAGUCCCAGCUUCUGCAGGAAAUCCAGACAAGGAUCUUCUUGGAGAAGCAUGCAGGUGAAAUGGUGCAUCUCGAGCAGUCCUUAAUAGCAGAGGAAAUUGACCUGAUCUCUUGCUUUUGUGAAUCACUCGAACUGCAGAAGAACCUGGAAACCCUGUUGCACCCGAGCACGGAUUGUUCCAAGGACUGGGAGGACCUGCUGAAGGAACUGGCCGACUACCACCACCACAUGGAAGAAGAGUUGGUCCAGAGGCAGUGGGAAGAAAUGCAAUGGGUGGGGCUUACCCUUGGGGGUGUCCCUCUCAAAGAGGGGGGUUUAUUCUCCCGAGAAGAAAUCCGGCAGAAUCUAGUGUCACUAGGGGCCAGUUUGAAAAAGGCAGACUCCCUCUUUGGAGUGGAUGCUGCAAACCAUGGAAACCAAGCUUUGGGGGCAAAGUCCAGCCGCUCGGUGACUCAGAAAAUACAAGCCACGGCCAUCAAGAUGGUCCGGCAAGAAGCUGUGAAGCAGCUCUGGGGACACAGAGUCCUGGACCGUUACAGCUGCCUCUUCCAGAAUGGAAGGUCCUCGUUAGUAAAGGACGAGAAAGAGAAGAAAGGAAAGGGGAAAUGGGAAAGUUUCCAAGAAGCUCGGUUGGCGGAGAUGGAGAAAUCUUACCGGGGCCAAAUACUGGAGGAAAAAGCGAAAAUGCAGGAUCAGCUGGAAAAGGGUGAAAUCAAGAAAUGGUUGAAGCAGAAGCUGUUGAGAGAACAUGAUGAAACGCUGACCUUCCUGGAUAGAGCAUUCCAGCAAGAUAUGCAGAAGCAGAGAGGAAGGGUGGAGGUGGAGAAAAGGAGGAGACAAGCCAGUCAAGAAGAUGGAAGCUACCCAAUAUCUAAGGAUGCCGCUGUGCAGGAACAGGAUCCACCCAGCCUGGCCGAAGGUGACAAAGUCAACUCCCUCUUGGCGGAAUAUGUCAAGAUGCUGAGACACACUGAACUCCUGGUGCUUUUAAGAACGACCCUCUUGAAUCCUCAGUUCAGGUCCCUUCUUUCUGGUAGGUUUUACUUUCCCAAGGGGCUGGAGACUCAUCUGAAAGGGUUUGGCCAUUUGUUGAGAUUUAAAUUCACCAGCAAAGCAUCUGUGUUUUUGUGUAGACAAGAAGGAAACUGGUGA
Pogona vitticeps (central bearded dragon) is the source of this 1699-nucleotide long non-coding RNA. The record is from Ensembl. NCBI's taxonomy places the organism in Eukaryota, Metazoa, Chordata, Lepidosauria, Squamata, Agamidae.